AAGAGAAUAAAUAGCGUGACCAUAAAUACGGAAAACACACAAAGACUCUUCAGCUGCAAACAACAGCUUCCUUGGUAGUGUAUGCAGCCUGUUUCUUGUAUGGGCUGCUCUAAGGGACCCUGGAGACAGGC
Molecule: small nucleolar RNA, 131 nt
Organism: Piliocolobus tephrosceles (Ugandan red Colobus)
Lineage: Eukaryota; Metazoa; Chordata; Mammalia; Primates; Cercopithecidae
Gene: SNORA70
Rfam family: Small nucleolar RNA SNORA70
About the family: snoRNA U70 seems to be exclusive to mammals and is a member of the H/ACA class of snoRNA which contain H (ANANNA) and ACA box motifs.
Source: Ensembl